This is a non-coding RNA of Meriones unguiculatus (Mongolian gerbil), 480 nucleotides long. The record is from the annotation of a RefSeq genome assembly. Lineage: Eukaryota; Metazoa; Chordata; Mammalia; Rodentia; Muridae.
AUGCUUCAGACAAGCAGUGGAAUCAAGAUGCAGUCUCAGACUCAGGUCUUCAUAUUCCUGCUCCUCUGGAUGUCUGGUGCUGAUGGGAACAUUGUGAUGACCCAGUCUCCCGAAUUCAUCUCCACAUCUAUAAGAGACAGGAUCACCCUAAGCUGCAAGUCCAGUCAGAGUGUGAAUAAGUAUAUAGCUUGGUACCAACAGAAAUCUGGGCAGCCCCCUAAACCACUAAUCUACUAUGUAUCCACUAGGCACACUGGGGUCCCUGAUCGCUUCACAGGGAGUGGAUCUGGGACAGAUUUCACUCUCAGCAUCAGCAAUGUGCAGGCUGAAGACCCGGCAGUUUAUUACUGUCAUUACUAUGACAAUACUCCUCCCACAGAUCAAGCCCUGCUUCCUCCUCAGAGUCAGAUGACUCUUGCUGAUCCUCUCCUUCGGAGGACGUCUCCUCCUCGGAAGAGGACGAUAUUGUAUAAUUUUUAA